RNAcentral lists this ribosomal RNA (169 nucleotides) under uncultured marine bacterium. Its description in RNAcentral is "partial 16S ribosomal RNA". It matches the Rfam family "Bacterial small subunit ribosomal RNA", at positions 338 to 524 of the family's 1533-position model. The record is from RNAcentral.
CCUACGGGAGGCAGCAGUGGGGAAUCUUGCACAAUGGAGGAAACUCUGAUGCAGCGAUGCCGCGUGGGUGAAGAAGGCCCUUGGGUUGUAAAGCUCUUUCGUCGGGGAAGAAAAUGACUGUACCCGAAUAAGAAGGUCCGGCUAACUUCGUGCCAGCAGCCGCGGUAAU